This is a long non-coding RNA of Lycium ferocissimum, 255 nucleotides long. RefSeq lists it as uncharacterized. The transcript is spliced from 2 exons. The record is from RefSeq and is a predicted model, not a curated record. Lineage: Eukaryota; Viridiplantae; Streptophyta; Magnoliopsida; Solanales; Solanaceae.
CCUAAGCUCGCCUCAUGUUGCUGGUCUGAACAAAAGGGUCCUAUUCACAAGGCUCAGAAUUCUGAUUGAUGUUAAUACCUAGAUGCAAUUUCUACAGCCAACUACGGCUGCUUGAAUCCAAAUUGUAGCCCCUUACACAAAGAACAUCAAAAAUUUCACAACUUUUCUCUUUCUAACAAACUUGGCAAUGUAAUAGUAUAACUUUGUUCCGCACAAUAUGAAGCAUAUUAUCUUUAUGUGAAGCAUAUUUACCUU